This 447-nucleotide ribosomal RNA is filed under the name uncultured bacterium. Its description in RNAcentral is "bacterial SSU rRNA". It matches the Rfam family "Bacterial small subunit ribosomal RNA", at positions 329 to 793 of the family's 1533-position model. The record is from RNAcentral.
GUCCAGACUCCUACGGGAGGCAGCAGUGGGGAAUAUUGCACAAUGGGGGAAACCCUGAUGCAGCGACGCCGCGUGAAGGGUGAAGUAUUUCGGUAUGUAAACUUCUAUCAGCAGGGAAGAAAAUGACGGUACCUGACUAAGAAGCCCCGGCUAACUACGUGCCAGCAGCCGCGGUAAUACGUAGGGGGCAAGCGUUAUCCGGAUUUACUGGGUGUAAAGGGAGCGUAGACGGCAGUGCAAGUCUGGAGUGAAAGGCGGGGGCUCAACCCCCGGACUGCUCUGGAAACUGUACGGCUGGAGUGCAGGAGAGGUAAGUGGAAUUCCUAGUGUAGCGGUGAAAUGCGUAGAUAUUAGGAGGAACACCAGUGGCGAAGGCGGCUUACUGGACUGUAACUGACGUUGAGGCUCGAAAGCGUGGGGAGCAAACAGGAUUAGAUACCCUAGUAC